UACGUAGGGUGCAAGCGUUAUCCGGAAUCACUGGGCGUAAAGCGUGCGUAGGUGGAUGUUUAAGUGAGAUGUUAAAUCGUGUGGCUCAACCAUAUCGAUGCAUCUCAUACUGGGCAUCUAGAGGACGGCAGAGGCAAGUGGAACUAGCAGUGUAGCAGUGAAAUGCGUAGAUAUUGCUAAGAACACCAAUGGCGAAGCAGCUUGCUGGGCCACUCCUGACACUGAGGUACGAAAGCGUGGGGAGCGAACAGG
Molecule: ribosomal RNA, 252 nt
Filed under: uncultured bacterium
Lineage: Bacteria
Description: partial 16S ribosomal RNA
Rfam family: Bacterial small subunit ribosomal RNA
Source: RNAcentral